GAUGAACGCUGGCGGCGUGCCUAAUACAUGCAAGUCGAGCGAACGGACGAGAAGCUUGCUUCUCUGAUGUUAGCGGCGGACGGGUGAGUAACACGUGGAUAACCUACCUAUAAGACUGGGAUAACUUCGGGAAACCGGAGCUAAUACCGGAUAAUAUUUUGAACCGCAUGGCUCAAAAGUGAAAGACGGUCUUGCUGUCACUUAUAGAUGGAUCCGCGCUGCAUUAGCUAGUUGGUAAGGUAACGGCUUACCAAGGCAACGAUGCAUAGCCGACCUGAGAGGGUGAUCGGCCACACUGGAACUGAGACACGGUCCAGACUCCUACGGGAGGCAGCAGUAGGGAAUCUGCCGCAAUGGGCGAAAGCCUGACGGAGCAACGCCGCGUGAGUGAUGAAGGUCUUCGGAUCGUAAAACUCUGUUAUUAGGGAAGAACAUAUGUGUAAGUAACUGUGCACAUCUUGACGGGACCUAUCAGAAAGCCACGGCUAACUACGUG
RNAcentral lists this ribosomal RNA (496 nucleotides) under uncultured bacterium. Its description in RNAcentral is "partial 16S ribosomal RNA". It matches the Rfam family "Bacterial small subunit ribosomal RNA", at positions 28 to 507 of the family's 1533-position model. The record is from RNAcentral.